This 234-nucleotide ribosomal RNA is filed under the name uncultured bacterium. Its description in RNAcentral is "partial 16S ribosomal RNA". It matches the Rfam family "Bacterial small subunit ribosomal RNA", at positions 15 to 240 of the family's 1533-position model. The record is from RNAcentral.
GAUCCUGGCUCAGGAUGAACGCUAGCUACAGGCUUAACACAUGCAAGUCGCGGGGCAGCAUGAAGUCAGCUUGCUGACUCUGAUGGCGACCGGCGCACGGGUGAGUAACGCGUAUCCAACCUGCCUGUUACCACGGCACAGCCCGUCGAAAGGCGGAUUAAUGCCGUAUGUGGUCCUUUGCGGGCAUCUAAUUAGGACUAAAGGUUCAGCGGUAACGGAUGGGGAUGCGUCCGA